RNAcentral lists this ribosomal RNA (424 nucleotides) under Acidobacteriota bacterium. RNAcentral describes it as "Acidobacteria bacterium partial 16S ribosomal RNA". It matches the Rfam family "Bacterial small subunit ribosomal RNA", at positions 355 to 776 of the family's 1533-position model. Lineage: Bacteria; Pseudomonadati; Acidobacteriota. The record is from RNAcentral.
UGAGGAAUAUUGGUCAAUGGGCGAUGGCCUGAACCAGCCAAGUAGCGUGAAGGAUGACUGCCCUAUGGGUUGUAAACUUCUUUUAUAAAGGAAUAAAGUCGGGUAUGCAUACCCGUUUGCAUGUACUUUAUGAAUAAGGAUCGGCUAACUCCGUGCCAGCAGCCGCGGUAAUACGGAGGAUCCGAGCGUUAUCCGGAUUUAUUGGGUUUAAAGGGAGCGUAGAUGGAUGUUUAAGUCAGUUGUGAAAGUUUGCGGCUCAACCGUAAAAUUGCAGUUGAUACUGGAUGUCUUGAGUGCAGUUGAGGCAGGCGGAAUUCGUUGUGUAGCGGUGAAAUGCUUAGAUAUCACGAAGAACUCCGAUUGCGAAGGCAGCCUGCUAAGCUGCAACUGACAUUGAGGCUCGAAAGUGUGGGUAUCAAACAGG